RNAcentral lists this ribosomal RNA (630 nucleotides) under Triticum aestivum (bread wheat). Its description in RNAcentral is "partial small subunit ribosomal RNA". Lineage: Eukaryota; Viridiplantae; Streptophyta; Magnoliopsida; Poales; Poaceae. The record is from RNAcentral.
AUGGUCUGCCGCCCCACCAGCUAUGGGGGUUUGGGUGUUCUUAACACCGACCAAUUUGCUCGUGCUUUGAGGCUCAGAUGGCUUUGGUUUGAAUGGAAAGAUACGUCCAAGCUCUGGGUCGGCCUGGGCAACCCUUGCACCGAGGAGGACCGUGAUUUUUUCUACGCCUCUACUUCCAUCAUCGUGGGCAAUGGGGCCAAAACGCCUUUUUGGGACUCCCCCUGGCUGCUUGGCCGCAAGCCGAAGGACAUUGCACCUCUCGUCUUUGAGGCCUCGAGGAGAAAGAACUGGAAGGUGCGAGAGGCUAUUACAGAGAAUGCUUGGAUGCUUACGAUCAGACGAGACAUUACCAUCACUGGCCAGCAUGUGCGGGAAUUUUUCACCCUCUGGCUUCUCAUCCAUGACAUACACCUCGACAUCCACUCUGAGGAUGACAUCAUUUGGAAGCACUCUUCGGAUGGCUCAUAUUCGGCGUCCACUGCAUACAAGGCACAAUUUCUGGGUUUGACGCUUUCCCCCAUGGACUCCAUGGUCUGGAAAAUGUGGGCGCCCCCAAAGGUCAAAUUCUUCUCUUGGCUAGCCUUACAAGAUCGGAUUUGGACCGCCUACAGGCUAGAGCGACGUGGCUAG